This 32-nucleotide non-coding RNA is filed under the name Mus musculus (house mouse). The record is from RNAcentral. Lineage: Eukaryota; Metazoa; Chordata; Mammalia; Rodentia; Muridae.
UUCCUUACUCACUGGGAAUUUCCUUUCCCAUU